UACGUAGGGUGCAAGCGUUGUCCGGAAUCAUUGGGCGUAAAGCGCGUGUAGGCGGCCCGAUAAGUCCGCUGUGAAAGUCCAGGGCUCAACCCUGGAAUGCCGGUGGAUACUGUCGGGCUCGAGUCCGGAAGAGGCGAGUGGAAUUCCUGGUGUAGCGGUGAAAUGCGCAGAUAUCAGGAGGAACACCGAUGGCGAAGGCAGCUCGCUGGGACGGUACUGACGCUGAGACGCGAAAGCGUGGGGAGCAAACAGG
RNAcentral lists this ribosomal RNA (253 nucleotides) under uncultured bacterium. RNAcentral's name for it is "partial 16S ribosomal RNA". It matches the Rfam family "Bacterial small subunit ribosomal RNA", at positions 524 to 776 of the family's 1533-position model. The record is from RNAcentral.